UACGUAGGUGGCAAGCGUUGUCCGGAAUUAUUGGGCGUAAAGCGUGCGUAGACGGUCAUGUAAGUCGGGUGUGAAAGCCCCGGGCUCAACCUGGGAAUUGCAUUCGAGACUGCAUGGCUAGGAUGCGGAAGAGGGAAGCGGAAUUUCCGGUGUAGCGGUGAAAUGCGUAGAUAUCGGAAGGAACACCAGUGGCGAAAGCGGCUUCCUGGUCCAGCAUCGACGUUCAGGCACGAAAGCGUGGGGAGCAAACAGG
This 253-nucleotide ribosomal RNA is filed under the name uncultured bacterium. Its description in RNAcentral is "partial 16S ribosomal RNA". It matches the Rfam family "Bacterial small subunit ribosomal RNA", at positions 524 to 776 of the family's 1533-position model. The record is from RNAcentral.